AGCAGUGAGGAAAUAUUGGACAAGGGAUGGAAAUCUGAUCCAGCCAUGCCGCGUGCAGGAAGACGGCCUUAUGGGUUGUAAACUGCUUUUAUACGGGAGCAAUAAGGGUUACGAGUAAUCCGAUGAGAGUACUGUAUGAAUAAGGAUCGGCUAACUCCGUGCCAGCAGCCGCGGUAAUACGGAGGAUCCGAGCGUUAUCCGGAAUUAUUGGGUUUAAAGGGUGCGUAGGCGGCCAUUUAAGUCAGCGGUGAAAUUUUGCAGCUUAACUGUAACAGUGCCGUUGAUACUGUUUGGCUAGGAUUUGGUUGUAGUGUGCGGAAUGUGUGGUGUAGCGGUGAAAUGCUUAGAUAUCACACAGAACACCGAUUGCGAAGGCAGCACACUAAGUCAUUAUUGACGCUGAGGCACGAAAGUGUGGGGAUCAAAAAGGAUUAGAUACCCUGGUAGUCCACACUGUAAACCAUGAAAGUCGCUGUCGGCGAUACACAGUCGGUGGCCAAGCGAAAGCAUUAAGUUAUCCACCUGGGGAGUACGACCGCAAGGUUGAAACUCAAAGGAAUUGACGGGGGCCCGCACAAGCGGAGGAACAUGUGGUUUAAUUCGAUGAUACGCGAGGAACCUUACCCGGGCUCGAACGGUGCAUGAAUAUACGAGAGAUUGUAUAGUCCUUCGGGACAUGUAUCGAGGUGCUGCAUGGUUGUCGUCAGCUCGUGCCGUGAGGUGUCGGCUUAAGUGCCAUAACGAGCGCAACCCUUGUCAUUAGUUGCCAUCAGGUCAAGCUGGGGACUUUAAUGAGACUGCCACCGUAAGGUGUGAGGAAGGGGGGGAUGACGUCAAAUCAGCACGGCCCUUAUGUCCGGGGCGACACACGUGUUACAAUGGGAGGUACAGAGGGCAGCUAUCCGGUGACGGAAUGCUAAUCUCCAAAACCUUUCUCAGUUCGGAUUGGAGUCUGCAACUCGACUCCAUGAAGGUGGAUUCGCUAGUAAUCGCGCAUCAGCCAUGGCGCGGUGAAUACGUUCCCGGG
RNAcentral lists this ribosomal RNA (1027 nucleotides) under uncultured bacterium. RNAcentral's name for it is "bacterial SSU rRNA". It matches the Rfam family "Bacterial small subunit ribosomal RNA", at positions 350 to 1378 of the family's 1533-position model. The record is from RNAcentral.